Molecule: ribosomal RNA, 274 nt
Filed under: uncultured bacterium
Lineage: Bacteria
Description: partial 16S ribosomal RNA
Rfam family: Bacterial small subunit ribosomal RNA
Source: RNAcentral
AUACGGAGGGUGCAAGCGUUACUCGGAAUCACUGGGCGUAAAGCGCGCGCAGGCGGGCUGAUAAGUUGGAUGUGGAAGCCUACGGCUCAACCGUAGAACUGCAUCCAAAACUGUCAGUCUAGAGUCUGGGAGGGGAAGAUGGAAUUAGUUGUGUAGGGGUAAAAUCCGUAGAGAUAACUAGGAAUACCAAAAGCGAAGGCGAUCUUCUGGAACAGUACUGACGCUGAGGCGCGAAAGCGUGGGGAGCAAACAGGAUUAGAAACCCUAGUAGUCC